Long non-coding RNA from Gadus chalcogrammus (walleye pollock), 1200 nucleotides. RefSeq lists it as uncharacterized. The record is from RefSeq and is a predicted model, not a curated record. NCBI's taxonomy places the organism in Eukaryota, Metazoa, Chordata, Actinopteri, Gadiformes, Gadidae. The transcript is spliced from 3 exons.
UGUGUCCAUUUCUAAUGCAGUUGCGGCGCUAUUUAGGCCUUGGAGAUGAUUUCAAUUUGCUGUUGGUUAUUCCAUCGUCGGGACGACGAUUCAAUUGAUGGGGGCAGAUUGUGGCAACAUGUAGUUUGUUGUCAUGGUGACUGUCAGCUGUGCGGCAGUCCCAGCCAAUCACGGUGGGAGACUAUCUAUAAAGGCGGGCGUAGAGCACUUGUCGGCAUCUUGCUUGCCGUAGGCUGGGUCACGUUGCGCCUGGGCGUCCAUUUCCGCUUCCGUGCGGUGACAGGCUCUUGCUUGCCGGAGGCUGGGUCACGUAGCUCCUGUGCGUCUAUUUCCGCUUCUGUGCAGUGAUAGGGCUCACUUGGAUGUUGCUGCUGGCUGCGCGCUGCUCAUCGAUAUAUAGCCGAUGCCGCCUACUGAACUGUCGCUUUUGGAUAGCGUCCCGUUCCCUGCUCCACGCCACGUUGGCCGGGACUGCCCGAUUGGGUGGCCGACAGCGGCGCAGCGGCGGCCAAUCCACCUAUAAAAACCACUGCUGCUUUGCUUCAACGUUAUUUCCGCCUUGCCAGGGCCAGCUCGGACCCGAUCGCUUUGCCGUUCAUUCGGCUAGCGAUAGUUUGUUCCUUUUCCUGUUGUGUCGCUAUCUCUUUUGUUUAGUUGGUGCAACUACAUCUUAAAGUGUGUAUGUUAUGUUAUGUAAGAGUUUUUGCUGAUUUCUCCUUGUGUUUAGUUAUUAUAGAUUUUGUUUAUUUAAUUAAUUUCUCUUAUUAUUUUGUUUCCAUUAUGUUUUCUAACUGGUUGCUCUGCGAUCCCCCUCAAUUCAGGUGCUGAGCCUACGGUGGUGGACUGGUGUCCUGGUCACGGUGUCCCUUUUGUAUUGUGUUUGCAGUUGGUUUAUUUUUCAUUUGUUUUACGCGUGGUGUUCCUGGGACCCCCUUUCCUUUGGAUGCAGGUGUUCACAGUAGGUCUCAGCACUGAUUGGAUCUCAGCACCCAAUUUCCCUCCUUAGUGAGUAAUUAUUUAGUAGUCUUAAGAACAGACAUUUUGUAUAAAUAAAUAUUUUUGUAUGAUCGAACUGCCGUCUCUGCCUCAUUGCAUAACGGACCUCAGUGCCUUUCCUUCAUUUGUGCUAGUCCACUUAAAAUAAAUCUCUGGGUGAAAUUCCCAGGGUGGCGUUGUCUGGCAAUAAUUAAUGCUACCGAU